ACAUCUCUGCUGUCCAGCUCCACGAUGUGUGCUGAAUGACCUUCCACUGCAUACUGUUGGCCGUGUACAAGUACGGCAGGAGUUCUGAUACUCCAUGCUUGGCUGUGGAUGUUGAAAAUCCACAGCUCAUCAGUAACAUUGCCAUUAUUUGUUUCGAUUUUGCCUCCAUACAUGUAGAUGUCUUCCUGAUAUAACGCAAGUGUGUGUCCGUAUCUCUGGAGCGGCCCUUUGGAUACAGGCACUACGUUCCAUAUACUGCUUUCCAAAUUGUAGUUCAACACCAUUUGGAAUGAACUGUAGUUAAAAGUAUAUCCGCCAAUCACCCACAUAAAUUUUCCAUGUAGAACUGCCUUAUGGGAAGCCCG
Molecule: long non-coding RNA, 365 nt
Filed under: Gallus gallus (chicken)
Lineage: Eukaryota; Metazoa; Chordata; Aves; Galliformes; Phasianidae
Source: RNAcentral